GGGAAUAUGGCUUAGUGGUAGAGUGCUUGCCUAACAUUCAAGAAGCCCUGGGUUUGAUUCCUCAGUACCA
RNAcentral lists this transfer RNA (70 nucleotides) under Dipodomys ordii (Ord's kangaroo rat). It matches the Rfam family "tRNA". Rfam says of the family: Transfer RNA (tRNA) molecules are approximately 80 nucleotides in length. Their secondary structure includes four short double-helical elements and three loops (D, anti-codon, and T loops). The record is from Rfam by way of RNAcentral. Lineage: Eukaryota; Metazoa; Chordata; Mammalia; Rodentia; Heteromyidae.